RNAcentral lists this ribosomal RNA (251 nucleotides) under Amblyomma compressum. Its description in RNAcentral is "partial large subunit ribosomal RNA". The record is from RNAcentral. Lineage: Eukaryota; Metazoa; Arthropoda; Arachnida; Ixodida; Ixodidae.
AAUGCUAAGAGAAUGGACUUACAAUAAAUUUCUUUUUUAAUUUUUUUAAUAAUUGAAGUUAAUUUUAUUUGUGCAGAGGCAAUAAUAAGUAUUAGUGACAAGAAGACCCUGAGAAUUUAUUAUUUUGAAAUAAUAAAUAGAUAUCUCAAAAUAUUAAUUGGGGCGAUUAAUAAAAAUUAAUAACUUUAUUUAAAAAAUAAAAUGAUCCAUUAGUAAUGACUAUAUGAAAAAAUACUCUAGGGAUAACAGCG